Long non-coding RNA from Hordeum vulgare subsp. vulgare (domesticated barley), 894 nucleotides. RefSeq lists it as uncharacterized. NCBI's taxonomy places the organism in Eukaryota, Viridiplantae, Streptophyta, Magnoliopsida, Poales, Poaceae. The transcript is spliced from 3 exons. The record is from RefSeq and is a predicted model, not a curated record.
GGGCUGAGAAGCACACUUCCCUACUGGUCGGUAACUCACAACCGACCUUACGCCGUCGCCCCGUGGUGCGCCUCCGCCGGACGCGACACCCGCCGUCUCUGCCCCGGCCCCUCCCUCUCGCGCGUCAUCCGGCCGUCUUCGGCCGCCCCAAGUUCGCUGCCCCGAGCUCCGUCCCAUCGGCGUCGGCUGCCCCCCCGCUCCAUCUAGCCGGAACCAAGCCGCCGUUUGGCGUCACCGGCGGCGAGGUGGUUCUUUUGUCAAUCCCUGCUUUCCGUGUUGAGCUUCCUCUUAAGGAUAUUAUUUUUUGGAACUGAAGCUCCGUGGUUCCUCUUAGAUUCAAGACCUCAUUUGUGGGAAAGGUUUAUGAAUGCUCCUGGUUUCCUUCCAGAAUGGUGCUUCAGCAACCCUGGCUUUAAUUGCAGUUUGACAUUCUGGUUUUCUAUAUUGACGAUUCAAUGAUUGAGACAAUAUAAAGGUUGAAAAGAGGUUGAGAAGAGCCACCUAACCUCAUCUCAAAAGGUAUGCGUUGGAUCUUGCUACUUUCUGAUCAUCAAAGUGAGAUGUACAUUUCACUGUGUAUCGGAGAAAGUGAUCAGUUGACCCAUAUGCACAAUUCUCCUUCGUCGACUAACGCAGGCCACAAAAAUUAACACGGUGGUAAAAUUUGGAUAUCUUUGAGCAGAAAUGACACACGUUCUCUGCAUUUGUGUGGCUUGUAAUAAACAAAUGCAGAGAAAAAUGAAUGCAGGUAUUUGGGAUAAUCAUCAACAUUAGGUUUACAUUACCCGCCUACAUUUUUAUAUAAAUGUAAUUUAAAAAUAAAUGUUGUAAUCCCUGUGGCCCAUAUAAAGAUUUAAUGUAUAUUAAUAUCGAUCGAACGGAGUACAUUGUUCA